CAGCGAGCGCAGAGAUGGCUUUAGGGAUGGAGAUGCUGCUUGAGGAGCCCGCAGAUAAGUUUUUCUAUUAAAAAAGAUAGGCGUUAGUGUAUUUCUUUAGGGAUUAUAAGUAGUGAAAAUACGGAGAUACUGCUUUGCAUUAAGUUCUUAGAUAAAUUUUAGGGAAAAUAUGAAGACUUAAAGAGUAGUUGGAGAAAGGAAGAGGGAAGAAAAAAGAUAAUUUUAGAACCUGAGGGAGGUUAAGAGCUGAAAUUUUUUCAUGGAGUGAAAAAUUUAAAAGAAUUGAUGAGCUAGGACUGCAAUGUCUGGAUUUUUUUUUUAAAGCCUUAACUUGAAGGGCAACCUUUUACCUUAACAUUAAAACGUUGGGUUACGUAAAUCGAACCUAAACGUUUUAAAAGGUUGAGUUGUAGGUGAUUAAAAUACUACAAAGGCCAUCUUAAGAUUUAACUGAAGGUGGUUUCAGAAAUAAUGCCUUCAGAUUCACGGCGCAGUAAAAAUGGCGUCAUUUGAAGCCUGCUUGAUACUAAGGCUUUGUUUGGCUAAAGUUGACGGAAAUAUUAGGAAUGGUAGGAAAGAAAAUUGGAAGUUUGAAGUGGAAAAUUCGGAAGACAGAAGUACAGGAAGGUGAAGAAAAAACUAGAGAAGAUAAGAGAUACACGUUUUAGAAGAUAAAACCUGAGCCUAGUAAGUAGGCAGAAAAAGACAAAUCUAGGAGAAAAUUGAAAAUACGGUCGAGUGCUUAAGAUAGAAUGAAAAGAAAGCUAUUGGACGCAAACAUACAAGAUAGACGUCCAAAAAUUUAGAUAGUUCAAAAUCAAUAAUGUUGGAUAAAUUACAGGAACAAAAACUAAGGAAAUUUUUAUAGCCAAUAAGAAUUUAUUGUAAAAGCCCAUCAACUUAUUUCUGGUGGUGCAAAAGUUAGAUCUCAGAAGAUGAGGGUUUUUUUUUUUUAAAACUACUGUAGACCAGGACCAACUUAGAAGAAAAUCCGGAAACUAGGAGAGUCAAUUUAAAAUCUCAGCAAAAAGUUACUGAAGGGGACUGAAGUAACUUAAAAGUUAAGAAUGUAUUUGGGAGAGUUAAAAAUCUGAAAGGCCUUAAAUGCGGUAGCGUAGUUUCCUUUGGAAAAUGUAAAGGACUUUAUAAGUGAAUUAAAUUGAAGAGCAAGAAUAACCAUCGAGUUAUUGGACUUUGAGCUAAGAUGAAUGUUUAAAUCCUGAGGACUAGGCGCUAAAUAACAGCUGACGCAGGUGCUACGCAGAAGUGGAUUCAGUGAAGCUAGGAAGACAGGAGCGGCAGACAGGAUUCGGAGCCAGUGUUGGUGAAAACUAGGACUGAGGAGCCAGCGGCAGUUCGUGAAGAUAGGAAAGAGAAGCCCGGGAGCCAGUGCGACUUGGUGAAGGAAGCUAGGAAGAAGGAGCGAGUCCUAACGAUUUGGAGGUGAAGCUAGGAGAGGAUUCCAGGAAGGAGGAAGCCAGUGCGGUGUGGUGAAGCUAGCGUGCGGCUUGGCUUGGCAACCACGCGGAGGCGGCGAGCAGGCGGAGUGGAGGAUAGAUAGAGGAUCCUAGAGCAGCAGACCAGUGUACGAGCCCCGCAGGGAGAGCCAGUGGUGUGGUAAAAAUCCGUGAAGUCGGCACUAUCGUGGGUUUUUUUUCCUCCUGUAACUCAGUAUGGUAAUAUCUCUUAUUAAAUUUUCCUAAUAGUAAUGGGGGAGUUGUGUACUUAAGCAUAAAGGGGAUUUUAUUACGGGGAUGUAGGCCGGUUUUCGGGUGUCGUAGGUUUCUCUUUUUCAGGCCUAUUUUCUCAUGCAUCUUGUCUGGAGCUUUUGAGGGCAGACUUCAAGGCCCGGAGGAAUGGUAGAUGGCAAGUGUUCUUGUUUUUAACCAAUAUGAGGGAUGUCCUGAAUUUGGUAGAACAACUGUGAGACAACUUCAGCAAGCUUUGUAAACAGGUUUUAUAUUCAGUUUGGGGGUAAUGAAGCAUUUCAGUUUCGUGAGUAGAGGGCCUACUUUUCUUUCCUCACCCUGUAUUUUAAAAGUCUUCUAAAUAUGUAGUUUCGGUGUAUAAUUCUGGGCGGGGGGAGUUUUUUUGGGGGGGGAGCAAAAUAUGUUUUGAGUUCUUUUCCCUUUAGGUCUGUCUAGAAUUCCAAAGGCAAAUGACUCGAGGUAACAGGCGAAAAGAAAAUCCAAUAUCAGGAUAAUCAGAACACUGCAGGUUUACAGUUAUAGAAACUCUAGCACAAGCAGCUUUCACUUUGAGGUCUGUGGCGCAGCUGUCCAUUGGAGUAAUGGCUGGUAGUUUAUUCUUUUUUUCCCCACCCCUUUAUUAAAUAUUUUUAUAAAGUACGUAACUGGUUAUUUUUACUUAAAUAUUUUGGGGUGGUGUGAACAGGGAAGAGGGUGGGGGAGAAACUUUUUUUUUCUAAGAUUUUCCACAGAUUCUAUAGUACUAUUGACAAUCUGAGUUAGAGAAGGAUUGUACUGCUACGCUGUUUGGCACCAACACCUUCAGGGAUUGGAGCAGCUUUUUUCCUUGGAAGAGUAUUCCCAGUGAAGCUGAAAUGUACAGCCCAGUGCAGCUUUGGUUCAUAUUCAGUCAUCUCAGGAGAACUUCAGAAGAGCUUGACUAGGCCAAAUGUUGAAGUUAAGUUUUCAAAUAACGACUUUUAAGAUACCUUUAUUAAAGGGGAGGGGCAAAUUUUGGCGAUUUGUAGUUGGCAGUGGCUUGUAAUGAUUGGGAUGGGGGGGGCGUGGGUUUAGGUAAUUGUUUAGUUUUUGAUUACAGAUAAACUCAUGCCAGAGAACUUAAAUACUUAAGGUGGAAAAACUAAAGAAAUCUCAACUUCCAAGUUGGCAAGUAACUCGAAAUCCUCUGGUUCUGUUUUGCCCCAAUUUUUGAAUUUAACAGAUGGGGAAGUUGAUGACGAUUCACUGGAUUUAAAAGAGUAGGGCUUGGGAAAGGAAAAUGACUGGGGGUUGGUCUGGCCCUCUGCGCUGACUUAGAUAAAAACUUGGGGAAUUUUUUUUUAAAUGGUAAAGUUCGGAUAUAGUGUGUGGUUCUCUCUUGGAAUAUUUUUCAGGUGAUUUAAUAAAACUUAAUACUACUAUAGGAGCUUCAGAGCAAAGGAGGUGGCUUAAUGAUCCUGAAGGGAUUUCUUCUGGUGGUAGCUUUUGUAUUAUCAAGUAAGAUUCUUUUUUCGGCUGUAUAUAAGCAAGAUUGUUUGGUUUAUUCUUUUCUUUUUUAGCGUAGGAAAAGUUUGUUGUUAAGGUAUGCUUCAAAAUUAUUGUUAAUUGUAUUUUGAAUUUACAUCUAAGCCUUGUAAAUCAUAACUGAUAAGAGGGGGUGGGCUUUUGUUGAUGAGGGAGGGGAAACCUUUUUUUUUUGUAGACUUUUUUCAGAUAACAUCUUCUGAGUCAUAACCAGCCUGGCAAUCUGAUGGCCUAGAUGGAGAGGGGAACAGCUCCUUGGUGAAUGAUAAGUAAAGGCAGAAAAGAUUGUAUUUCAUACCUACAUUGGGGAAAAAAGCAUAACCCUGAGAUUUUCUUCUGAUGAACACAUUGUCUGCACAUGCAAAAAAAAAAGCAAAUGAAAACUACCAAUUUAAAGUUAAUGGAAUCUACUACUAUAAAGUUAAUGGCUUAUCAAGCUGUAUCCACAAAAAUAAUGAAUUGAUGAAAAAUAAAAAUAACGAUACAAUGAAGAUCAAAAUGUCAAUCUCAAUACUGCUUUUACAAAAGCAGAAUUAAAAAAGCGAAAUGAAAAUAGCGCUACAUAUUAAUCCUGGAAAAAAAAGAAGCUGAAAUAAUUGAAAUGAGUGGGAUCAAGUGAAUUGAGAGGAGGAAGAGGCUGUGCUGUUUGCCAAUCUUUCGUUUGCCUCAGACAGGUUUUUCUUCAUUAUCAGAAGAGUUGCUUCAUUUCAUCUGGGAGCAGAAAACAGCAGGCAGCUGUUAACAGAUAAGUUUAACUUGCAUCUGCAGUAUUGCAUGUUAGGAAUAAGUGCUUACCUUUGUGAAGAGCUGUGGAAGUCCUAGGUCCCUUACCUAAGGGAUUCCAGGAUUGUGAGGCAUCGUCCCAUCCAGCCUUUUAAAAUUAGACAGGACAGCGUUCCUGUGGGCUUUGAUGAUGGGACAGCACAUUUCAUUCAAGAGGCAAGUAAUUCCUUAAAGCCUCUUGAGAUUAGCAAAGAUAAUGUUUAUAAAACUAAGAACAUUUGUUUAGCCUUGAAUCUGACAGCCCUAUUUAAGGGAUAGUAUUGUACUGUUAAGAAUUCAGAUUUUGUUAAUCUUGCUAAAAUUCAAAUGUUACGUGUAUUGUGCAGAAAACCAUUAAAUCAUUCAAAAUAAAAUACUUUUAUUUUUAGAGAAUGUAUGCUUUUAGGAAGCUGUCUCCUUAUUUAAAUAAAACAUUGUUUGUCUGUAGUUAGUGUUGGGGCAAUCUGGGGGGGGUUUCUUCUCAUCUUUCAGAAACUUUGUCUGCGAACACUCUUUAAUGGACAAGAUCAGGAAAUUGAGCAGAAGAACGAAUUUAAUUUAAGGCAGGAAAAAAUUUUGUCCUUCGUAAAAGUGAUGAGCAUUUAAUAAUUCCAGGCACAUGGCAAUAGAGGCCCUCUAAAUAAGGAAUAAAUACCUCUUAGACAGGUGGGAGAUUAUGAUCAGAAGAACAGGUAACUUAACUCCUACAAUGUUUGCAGAAAGUCAGGAGUCUGUCUAGUGGUUAAACUAGAGUAAUGGAAUGUACUGUCCACAUUUCCAGUUUGCAUGUUAACUUUGCUUAGUCAUCUCAUCUGGUGUUAGCCAGUGUUCACACUGUUGGCCUACUUUUUAGAUACCUGGUGGGGGGGUGGUUGGUUUUUUUUUUUUUUUUAAAGAAUUUUCCUUUGCAGAGGCUUCAUUUCAUCCUUCGUGAAGCUUUUCAGGAUUUUGGCUUUCAUGUAAACGCUUGGCUCUGCCUUCUGUUCUCCUAGGGAGUGUUUCAGACCUUGCAGUGAGUUUAUCGGCAUAUUUAAGUAUAAACAUUUUUCCCCUUGAAUUUGGAGGGAAGGGAGGAGAGGGUGGGGCUUACUUGUUUUAGCUUUUUUUUUUACAGACUACACAGAAUGCAGUUGUCUUGACCUCAGGUCUGUGUGUUCUCUUGGCAAGUAAUACAGUACUGUUCUGAUCCGCUGCUAUUAGAAUGCAUUUUGAAACGACUGGAGUAUGAGUCAAAGUUGUGUUUCCCCCAAUGCUUGGAGUGGAGUAGUGAUUGUUAAAAGAAAAUCCAGCUGAGUGAUAAAAGGCUGAGUGUUGAGGAAAUUUCUGCAGCUUUUUAAGCAUUCAUGUUUGUGAUUGGAGCGGAGUCCCUUUUGCUGUGCUUUUUUUUAGGUAAAAUGCUUUUUGUUCACUUCUGGUAAGGGGGUGGGGAGGGCACUGAAGCCUUUAGUCUUUUCCAGAUGCAACUUUAAAAUCAGUGACAAGAAAUAAUUCCAAACGAGCAGCACUCUUGAAGAAAUUUAACUGGCAAGUGGAAAUGUUUACCAACAGUUCAGUGGUCUUAGUGCAUUUGUUUUUGUUUGGGUGUCUCUCUCUCCUCCCCUGGUCUUAAUUUCAUAUACAGGAACAUUCAAAACAACAGACAGACGUAUGCGAAAGGCCAGAGAAGCCAGACCCAGUAAGGAAAAAUAGCUUACUUACUUUUAAAAUAAUAAACCAAAAAACACUGCAUUUUAAAUGUGGGGAUUGGGAACCACUAGUUCUUUCAGAUGGUAUUCUUCAGACUAUAGAAGGAGCUUCCAGUUGAAUUCACCAGUGGACAAAAUGAGGACAACAGAUAUUCCUCAUGCAACUAGUGAUUGGAGAAGCCUGUUUUGAAAAAUUGAUUACACAUAUCAAUAAAAAUUGAAAAAACUUCACUGGUGUGAUUCAUUUAUGUAUAUACCAAACUUCU
Molecule: long non-coding RNA, 5925 nt
Filed under: Bos taurus (domestic cattle)
Lineage: Eukaryota; Metazoa; Chordata; Mammalia; Artiodactyla; Bovidae
Description: long non-coding RNA NONBTAT030135
Rfam family: Metastasis associated lung adenocarcinoma transcript 1 (bases 3665-3768)
Source: RNAcentral